CAGCUCAAAUUUGAAAGCCCGCGGGCGUUGUAAUUUGCAGGCGGAUGUUUUGGGGCGGGCGCUGUCUACGUUCCUUGGAACAGGACGCCGCAGAGGGUGAGAGCCCCGUGCGAUGGCGCCUCCAACCGCGUAAAACUCCGCCGACGAGUCGAGUUGUUUGGGAAUGCAGCUCCAAGUGGGUGGUAAAUUCCAUCUAAAGCUAAAUACUGGCGAGAGACCGAUAGCGAACAAGUACAGUGAUGGAAAGAUGAAAAGCACUUUGAAAAGAGAGUGAAACAGCACGUGAAAUUGUUGAAAGGGAAGGGUAUGCGAUUAGCGGCCAGCAGGAGGUGCCUUCUCGUGAAAAGGCCGUGCACCGUCUUCGGACACCGUGCGCGGAGAUGGCGAGGGGGCGCCUGAGGUCUGCGACUCGAGGUUGCUGGCGUAAUGAUUGCAUACCACCCGUCUUGA
This 450-nucleotide ribosomal RNA is filed under the name Diutina rugosa. RNAcentral's name for it is "partial large subunit ribosomal RNA". It matches the Rfam family "Eukaryotic large subunit ribosomal RNA", at positions 104 to 657 of the family's 3401-position model. The record is from RNAcentral. Lineage: Eukaryota; Fungi; Ascomycota; Pichiomycetes; Serinales; Debaryomycetaceae.